GCAACUUAGCUAAUCCGACAUUAUCUAGAGGCAUCAUUUUCCCAAACAUUGUCCCAAGAACCAGUUGGAGCAGCUUUUGGUCCCUCAGUGUAGCCCUGAAUGGCAUGAGGGUUACCCGGUCCAGGAAGUGGACGUCCGUCAGGGCCUGGUGGGUGGACUUUCCUGGGCUUUGUCCUGAUCCCCAGCAGCCUGAACACAAAUCUAGCAAGCUCACCAUAUAGCAUUCCAGACCGAUCGAAAAGCUGCAGAACAAGCCAGAUUGCUGAGAGCUCAGUAUUUGAUACAAUAUCACAAGAAGACUAAAUCCUAAUAAAAGCUUUCACAGUCUUAACAUAUUUAGUUCCAUGAUAUCUCCAACAUAAGCAAGUUAUAAAAUAUAAUGGAUCAGUGCUCUUACCAUGCUAAAGGUCUUUUACAAAUAAUGACAUCCAGUAAAACCAAUCAUCUCUCAAAGUUUCCAUCAUCUUUGAAAAGUGAAAAAGAAAUGAAUUUUCCCCUCAGAUUCACACUAGCUUUGAUCCUAAUCAUGCAUUUAUUUUUCAAAUGCACUUUCCUUUCAAGCCAAUUUUUACCAAAAGAUAUAAUAGUACCUAUCUAACUUCCUUCCAUGAACAUUACGACCCCCUUCAAUUAAAAAACUUGCGCAGCAAACGGACAAAGUUUAAGCAAUGCGGUUUCCUCAUUCAAAUUUACUCCAGAAUUCUCAAAUUGGACAGGACAGGACAGUACAGUCGCAAUGGGCAUGCGCAUGUACAUAUUUCUGCACAGGGAGAUACACAAACUUUAAUUGUGGUCCAUUUUGACGGAGAGAAAGUGGUGCUUAAGGUGAAAGAAUGUCUAUGUAGCUGAAUCACAAUAUCAUAAAGUCAUCCUAUUAAUAGAUAGAGUCUGAAAAACCCAAUUAAUCCAUCACUCUGCAAAUACGUUCAACAUAUAAGCCACAGGACAUAAAACACUACCUGAAGAAGUGCUGUCAUAAACAGGUGGAAGGCUUGAGUAUUUUGGUCAAUAAGAAUUGAAAUGCGGCCAAAAAAGUUUACCACUCCCUGCAUCUGGCAUUAGAGAAAAGCUAAAAUGAGUUGUUUAUAAAAUAAAUUAGUAGUACAUCGCCUUAAAUUAUAGCUCUAAAUAUAGGUCUAGAGAACUAUGUCCCAUCACCUUAAAAAUCAAGAUCGAGGCAAUUACUUCAACACGUUCUGAGUACACAAUCUAAGAUAAGAAAAAUCUCACACCUAAAAACAAGGUAACAACAUGCAAUUGCAGAACAAUUAGAACCAAAAAUGGUCCUAAGACAUCACAUUUGAUAUUUCACCAGGAACUAAAAUGUAUCAAAGCUAAUUAACCAACUAAAUGAAUCACAAAACAAAGUUCACGAUAAUGCACCAAAUAACAGAUUUACAUACAUUCUGCCUUUAAGAAUUUGAUUAAUUCAACAAACUAAAAAUACAACUAUGACGUCCAAACAAAAAACUUAAGCCUCAGGUGAAGGUAUAAUACACACACACACACGUGUGUGUGUGUGUGUAUAUAUAUGUAUAUAUAUGUAUGUAUGUAUGUAUGUACGUAUGUUGUCUACCAAUAGGCCUUUAUUAACAUGUACACAAAUGAUAUAGGAUACAUUCACACCCCCUUUGAAGUGCAAACCAGACUGAGUAUAGCACUUGAAAUUGGCAAAUGGGGAGUCCCACAUGUGAAAAAAAUUGAGAUGGGAACUGGCUCUAUAAGCCCUUAGAUGGAGGGAGACAAUAUGUAUAUAAGGCCUAUAUAAAACCGUAUACAAGAAAAGUGGGAUACUUUAACAGUCUAGAAUUCUUAAGCCUGCAUUUGGAAAAUUAGCAAGGAUGGAAAGAAGUGAGUGUGAUAAAUUUCAUAAAAGCAGGACAUGAAAAUGAGAAUGAAGAGAUCACACCAAUCAAUCUUUUUUUCUAGCAAAAACAAUCAAUAACAAAAGCCACUAUUCAGUUCCAUCUAGAAGCAUAAGUUCGAAACAGUAAAAGCAAUCAGGAGGAGGUAGUACCCAAUCAACAUUCCUCAGAUGAAAUUAAUAAGGAAGAGGAAAGUGCAAGACCAUUGCUUACCACCCGUAAAAAUGAUAUCCAAAACCCUGGAGGAGAAGAUGGUUCACCAUAUGGAUUGUUUGGAUCUUGCCCUCCAUAAGGACCACCCAUUCCCAUUCCCGUUCCCAUUCCAUAGCCACCCAUUGGUCCUCCAAAUCCACCACCAUACAUUCCACCACCAUAGAGUCCAGAGGAUCCAUUAAGGCCUCCAUAGCCUCCCCUAUACAUGGAGUUACCAUACAUACUACUGCCAUACAUUCCACCUGCUCCACCAUACAUUCCAGU
Molecule: long non-coding RNA, 2342 nt
Filed under: Eucalyptus grandis
Lineage: Eukaryota; Viridiplantae; Streptophyta; Magnoliopsida; Myrtales; Myrtaceae
Description: long non-coding RNA (EGRA_LNC000010)
Source: RNAcentral